UGGGGAAUAUUGGGCAAUGGAGGCAACUCUGACCCAGCAACGCCGCGUGAGGGAAGAAGGUUUUCGGAUUGUAAACCUCUGUCCUUGGGGACGAAGAAAGUGACGGUACCCAAGGAGGAAGCCCCGGCUAACUACGUGCCAGCAGCCGCGGUAAUACGUAGGGGGCGAGCGUUGUCCGGAAUUACUGGGCGUAAAGGGUGCGUAGGCGGUUGCCUAAGUCAGAUGUGAAAUCCCCGGGCUUAACUCGGGUGUUGCAUUUGAAACUGGGCGGCUUGAGUGCAGGAGAGGGAAGCGGAAUUCCUAGUGUAGCGGUGAAAUGCGUAGAUAUUAGGAGGAACACCAGUGGCGAAGGCGGCUUUCUGGACUGUAACUGACGCUGAUGCACGAAAGCGUGGGGAGCAAACAGG
Molecule: ribosomal RNA, 407 nt
Filed under: uncultured prokaryote
Also listed under: 1 other name
Description: bacterial SSU rRNA
Rfam family: Bacterial small subunit ribosomal RNA
Source: RNAcentral